RNAcentral lists this ribosomal RNA (480 nucleotides) under uncultured bacterium. Its description in RNAcentral is "bacterial SSU rRNA". It matches the Rfam family "Bacterial small subunit ribosomal RNA", at positions 29 to 506 of the family's 1533-position model. The record is from RNAcentral.
UUGAACGCUGGCGGAAUGCUUUACACAUGCAAGUCGAGCGGCAGCGCGGGGCAACCUGGCGGCGAGCGGCGAACGGGUGAGUAAUAUAUCGGAACGUACCCUGUCGUGGGGGAUAACACAUCGAAAGAUGUGCUAAUACCGCAUACGACCUGAGGGUGAAAGCGGGGGAUCGCAAGACCUCGCGCGAUAGGAGCGGCCGAUAUCGGAUUAGCUAGUUGGUGAGGUAAAGGCUCACCAAGGCGACGAUCCGUAGCUGGUCUGAGAGGACGACCAGCCACACUGGAACUGAGACACGGUCCAGACUCCUACGGGAGGCAGCAGUGGGGAAUUUUGGACAAUGGGGGAAACCCUGAUCCAGCCAUUCCGCGUGAGUGAAGAAGGCCUUCGGGUUGUAAAGCUCUUUCGGCAGGAAAGAAAACGCAUCGGUGAAUACCCGGUGUGGAUGACGGUACCGUAAGAAGAAGCACCGGCUAACUACGU